Molecule: ribosomal RNA, 683 nt
Filed under: Quambalaria cyanescens
Lineage: Eukaryota; Fungi; Basidiomycota; Exobasidiomycetes; Microstromatales; Quambalariaceae
Description: partial large subunit ribosomal RNA
Rfam family: Eukaryotic large subunit ribosomal RNA
Source: RNAcentral
UUAUUCCUUGGAAUAGGACGUCAUAGAGGGUGAAAAUCCCGUACUUGACAUGGACGCCCAGUGCUUUGUGAUACACUCUCCACGAGUCGAGUUGUUUGGGAAUGCAGCUCAUAAUGGGUGGUAAAUUCCAUCUAAAGCUAAAUAUUGGGGAGAGACCGAUAGCGAACAAGUACCGUGAGGGAAAGAUGACAAGCACUUUGGAAAGAGAGUUAAACAGUACGUGAAAUUGUCGAAAGGGAAGCGCUUGAAGUUAGACAUGCUUGCCGGGAUUCAGCCUUGCUUUUGCUUGGUGCAUUUCCCGGUGUGCAGGCCAGCAUCAGUUUUGUUUGCCGGAUAAGGGUGAGAGGAAUGUGGCCCCCCGGGGUGUUAUAGCCUCUCACUGGAUACGGCGGAUGGGACUGAGGACCGCAGUGUGCCUUUAUGGCGGGCCUUCGGGCACCUUCACACUGCGGAUGCUGGCGUAAUGGCUUUAAGCGACCCGUCUUGAAACACGGACCGAGGAGUCUAACAAGUCUACUAGUCUUUGGGUUGCAGACCCAUGCGCGCAAUGCUAGUCAAUGCAGGUGGGAUCCGCAAGGAGCUCCAUCUACCGAACCGGAUCUGCUGUGACGCCCUUGAGUAAGACCAUAUCUUUGGAGACCCGAAUGAUGGUGCACUAUGCAUGAAUCGGGCGAAUCCCGAGC